UGUGGGGUUCCGUGCUUCCGGGCAGGGAGGGUUGGGCGCCAUGUUUGCGGAAAGAGGCUUCCCCACCACCCCGUGGGCCUCUGGCCCUUGGCCCUCAGGCGAAGGGCGUCUGACUUCUCCAGAAGUGCGUGCUCGCGCCCUCCUGAGGGAGACCCUGCAGCUCUGUGGUUGAGGAAGCUCAGAAACGGGGUUUCUGGCCCCUUGGCCAUAGGCUCCAGGACCCUCAAGGAAGCACGGGGAGCUGAGAGAAAAGCAGGGCCGGCCGCCACUUUAAGCGCCGAAAACAUUCCAGUCAGGACCGUUUUCCGUAGGGCGCAGGAGACCUCAGUGUGGGACCCUCCGGGUUCAUCCCAAAUGCCUGUUGACUGAAACAAAACACACGACCUAGAAGUCGGACGAAACUUGUCCAAAAGCUGGACAAAGCUGAAUACUUAAGCCCAGGACGCAGCAUCUCAGAUAACUGAGGGACUGGCCCGAAGAGGUAAGGGAGGAGGCAGGGUAUAUAGGGGUUUUUGCAACAAAGAUCAGGUAGUCCGAAAUCAGCACAUUGCGUAAUAAAGGAAAACCAGGCAUCUCUAGGAAUUCAGCGCUUUCCGAUGCGCUGUUAGCCUCCUGGGGCCAGCGCUUUCUCACCCCGAGUCCCCUCAGGGUGCACCUCGGGCGGCUGUGAUGCGAUGGCCUGUGCUUACUGGCACGUCAGUGGUAAAGACCUGCCUGACAGUGUAGGAGACAGGUUCAGUUCGUGGUCUGGAAAGAGUCCACAUCCUGAGGGGCAGCUCCGCCUGUGCACAACUUCUUAGCCUGGGCUCUGAAACCCACAAGGAGAGAAGCCGCCACAACGAGAAGCCCAGCACCACAGUAGAGUGGUUUAAAAACUCCGUGCACAAUCCAUGUUACGUCAGAUGAAGCAUGCUCCUUGCACAGUGAUUUCUGGCGGCAUGAAAGAAAAAGGAAUGUCUGCAAAACAUGAUCAAGAUAGACAUAAAAGUCAAGAGAAACCUUGUAUUUUGAGCUUUUUUUGCAGCCAGUUCACCGAGGGAAAGAUUAGGAGUUUCAUGGUUCUGAUAUUCAAAAGAAGAGGCAUACAGUUUCUCAGGAGGAUCUAGGUUUUUGUGGCUCUAAAUUUAAACACCCGUCCAUCCACACAUGCCUCAAAAGCCAAUUGCCAAUGUAUUGCCAUGUGAAACCUGCAAAAGUAGGUUCAUUUACUUUUAUUUACCAAUUCAUGCAUUCUCUCUAUGUAGGCAAAUAGGUACAAGAAAUCUGACCCCUCCUGAAGAAACCCCACCCAAAACAAAA
Molecule: non-coding RNA, 1299 nt
Organism: Odocoileus virginianus texanus
Lineage: Eukaryota; Metazoa; Chordata; Mammalia; Artiodactyla; Cervidae
Source: RefSeq, a predicted model, not a curated record